UGUCCUUUUAUUGAAUGAACAGUGCAUUUCUGUGCUGUUUGAACGGGAGUGAAGUUUCUCUCGGCAAGGAGAGGAGUUGAAACCAUUUUCUUAGCCAAACCUUGUUGAAUACUAAUGCAUUUUUAUUGGUGUUGUUUUGCAGAACUUCUGUGUCCCAUCCAGUUGCUGCAACCGAGACCUGAAGGUGUUGGGACCAGUAAAUGAUAAUUUUUUUUGGCAUUGUUGGGCAUUGUUCGGAAUUAUCGGCGUGGUGCGAUUUUCAAAUAUAAAAUGGUAAGAAAAGCAGCCAUUUUGCUGCAGUUAGUCGUCAGGAAAAUGGCAGUUUGUGUAGCUGGUGCACUGUUAUUUAUUUUAUUAUAGGUCAGUUCUGAUUAGUGCUUACUGAUGAAUGUUUCUCAUCAACAGGGGGUCUCCUUUGAAAGCCGCAUGCUAGUGUCGUGUGUGGACACACAUUCCAAGCUGCACAUCUGCAGUGCCUGUCUUGCAGCGUGGUGUGGUCACUUUCUGGAGGGAUUCGGUUCUCUCUCCCAGAUCCCGGACAAGCACGUGCCUGUUCGCUGGUCACUGAAAUCUACGUGUUCAGCAGAGCUUUCGUCUGGCUUGUUAUUCCACAGGACAGAUCACCACUUCGUGAGCUGACCAGUGCUCUCCAUGAACAGGUGAGUUAGGGCUCACAUUAUAUUAAAUCAUGUAUUCUGUGUCAUUAGUCAUUAUUCAUGAUAUUGAUAGAUAAUUAAUGAAAGCGUUUCCUUUGAUGCUUAGUAUAAUAAACACUGAGCUAACAAUUUGAUCUUCAUUCUUGAAUGAGUGGCACUCCAGGUGUAAAGGGACUUCAGGCCAGCCACAGUAGUGCAAAGUGAAGUGCAGAUGUGUUUAGGCCCCAUCCAUGUUAUUACAGCUUCAUCCAAUUCAGGGUCGAGGUAGAGCUGGAGUCUGUAUCGGCAAGAAAUGGGCUCAAGGCAGGGUACACCCUGGACAGGACUCCAGUCCAUCGCAGGGCACAUUCACACUCACAGCCACAUGUAGGGCAUAUUUCCCUAGAAGCCAGUUACCCUACCAGCAUGCUUUUGGACUGUGGGAGGAACACGGAGGGAACCCAGAUGAGCACAGG
Molecule: long non-coding RNA, 1111 nt
Filed under: Lepisosteus oculatus (spotted gar)
Lineage: Eukaryota; Metazoa; Chordata; Actinopteri; Semionotiformes; Lepisosteidae
Description: lncRNA (ENSLOCG00000021923.1)
Source: RNAcentral